RNAcentral lists this ribosomal RNA (252 nucleotides) under uncultured bacterium. RNAcentral describes it as "partial 16S ribosomal RNA". It matches the Rfam family "Bacterial small subunit ribosomal RNA", at positions 524 to 776 of the family's 1533-position model. The record is from RNAcentral.
UACGGAGGAUGCGAGCGUUAUCCGGAUUUAUUGGGUUUAAAGGGUGCGUAGGCGGGCUUUUAAGUCAGCGGUAAAAAUUCGGGGCUUAACCCCGUCCGGCCGUUGAAACUGGGGGCCUUGAGUGGGCGAGAAGAAGGCGGAAUGCGUGGUGUAGCGGUGAAAUGCAUAGAUAUCACGCAGAACCCCGAUUGCGAAGGCAGCCUUCCGGCGCCCUACUGACGCUGAGGCACGAAAGUGCGGGGAUCGAACAGG